Molecule: unclassified non-coding RNA, 347 nt
Filed under: soil metagenome
Description: partial contains 5.8S ribosomal RNA, internal transcribed spacer 2, and large subunit ribosomal RNA
Rfam family: 5.8S ribosomal RNA (bases 1-120)
Source: RNAcentral
GAUGAAGAACGCAGCGAAAUGCGAUAAGUAAUGUGAAUUGCAGAAUUCAGUGAAUCAUCGAGUCUUUGAACGCACAUUGCGCCCCCUGGUAUUCCGGGGGGCAUGCCUGUCCGAGCGUCAUUGCUGCCCUCAAGCACGGCUUGUGUGUUGGGUCGUCGUCCCCCUCCUAGGGGACGGGCCCGAAAGGCAGCGGCGGCACCGCGUCCGGUCCUCGAGCGUAUGGGGCUUCGUCACCCGCUCCGUAGGCCCGGCCGGCGCUUGCCGACGACCAUCAAUCUCUUUCUCCAGGUUGACCUCGGAUCAGGUAGGGAUACCCGCUGAACUUAAGCAUAUCAAUAAGCGGAGGA